Molecule: ribosomal RNA, 500 nt
Filed under: Pseudomonas sp. ZJ068
Lineage: Bacteria; Pseudomonadati; Pseudomonadota; Gammaproteobacteria; Pseudomonadales; Pseudomonadaceae
Also listed under: 1 other name
Description: bacterial SSU rRNA
Rfam family: Bacterial small subunit ribosomal RNA
Source: RNAcentral
CGGAAACGGGCGCUAAUACCGCAUACGUCCUGAGGGAGAAAGUGGGGGAUCUUCGGACCUCACGCUAUCAGAUGAGCCUAGGUCGGAUUAGCUAGUUGGUGGGGUAAAGGCCUACCAAGGCGACGAUCCGUAACUGGUCUGAGAGGAUGAUCAGUCACACUGGAACUGAGACACGGUCCACACUAAUACGGGAGGCAGCAGUGGGGAAUAUUGGACAAUGGGCGAAAGCCUGAUCCAGCCAUGCCGCGUGUGUGAAGAAGGUCUUCGGAUUGUAAAGCACUUUAAGUUGGGAGGAAGGGCAGUAAGUUAAUACCUUGCUGUUUUGACGUUACCAACAGAAUAAGCACCGGCUAACUUCGUGCCAGCAGCCGCGGUAAUACGAAGGGUGCAAGCGUUAAUCGGAAUUACUGGGCGUAAAGCGCGCGUAGGUGGUUCAGCAAGUUGGAUGUGAAAUCCCCGGGCUCAACCUGGGAACUGCAUCCAAAACUACUGAGCUAGAG